This is a small nuclear RNA of Suncus etruscus (white-toothed pygmy shrew), 102 nucleotides long. Lineage: Eukaryota; Metazoa; Chordata; Mammalia; Eulipotyphla; Soricidae. The record is from RefSeq and is a predicted model, not a curated record.
GUGCUCACUUCGCUGCACAUAUACUAAAAUUUGAACGGUGCAGAGAAGAUUAGCAUGGCCCCUGCACAAGGAUGACACACAAAAUAAUUGAUCUUCUCUUCU